Molecule: small RNA, 57 nt
Filed under: Sinorhizobium meliloti 2011
Lineage: Bacteria; Pseudomonadati; Pseudomonadota; Alphaproteobacteria; Hyphomicrobiales; Rhizobiaceae
Description: putative ncRNA
Source: RNAcentral
AGUUCUGGACAUAUUGCGUGUCGAAAGCGACGCGCGUGGCGUAGGAGACGUCGUUGC